This 253-nucleotide ribosomal RNA is filed under the name uncultured bacterium. Its description in RNAcentral is "partial 16S ribosomal RNA". It matches the Rfam family "Bacterial small subunit ribosomal RNA", at positions 524 to 776 of the family's 1533-position model. The record is from RNAcentral.
UACGAAGGGGGCUAGCGUUGCUCGGAAUUACUGGGCGUAAAGGGUGCGUAGGCGGCUUUGUAAGUCAGUGGUGAAAUAUGGCAGCUCAACUGUCAAGGUGCCAUUGAUACUGCAGAGCUUGAGUACAGAUGAGGUAGGCGGAAUUGACGGUGUAGCGGUGAAAUGCUUAGAUAUCGUCAAGAACACCUAUAGCGAAGGCAGCUUACUAGGCUGUAACUGACGCUGAGGCACGAAAGUGUGGGGAUCAAACAGG